This 325-nucleotide ribosomal RNA is filed under the name uncultured bacterium. RNAcentral's name for it is "bacterial SSU rRNA". It matches the Rfam family "Bacterial small subunit ribosomal RNA", at positions 28 to 334 of the family's 1533-position model. The record is from RNAcentral.
GAUGAACGCUGGCGGCGUGCUUAACACAUGCAAGUCGAACGAAGAAGGUUAGAAUGAGAGCUUCGGCAGGAUUUCUUUCCAUCUUAGUGGCGGACGGGUGAGUAACGUGUGGGCAACCUGCCUCAUACAGGGGGAUAACAGUUAGAAAUGGCUGCUAAUACCGCAUAAGCGCACAGGAUCGCAUGGUCUGGUGUGAAAAACUCCGGUGGUAUGAGAUGGACCCGCGUCUGAUUAGCUAGUUGGAGGGGUAACGGCCCACCAAGGCGACGAUCAGUAGCCGGACUGAGAGGUUGAACGGCCACAUUGGGACUGAGACACGGCCCAG